Molecule: ribosomal RNA, 492 nt
Filed under: uncultured bacterium
Lineage: Bacteria
Description: partial 16S ribosomal RNA
Rfam family: Bacterial small subunit ribosomal RNA
Source: RNAcentral
GAUGAACGCUAGCUACAGGCUUAACACAUGCAAGUCGAGGGGAAACGGCAUUAAGUGCUUGCACUUUUUGGACGUCGACCGGCGCACGGGUGAGUAACGCGUAUCCAACCUUCCCAUGACUAAGGGAUAACCUGCCGAAAGGCAGACUAAUACCUUAUGGUCUUCACUGACGGCAUCAGAUGUGAAGUAAAGAUUUAUCGGUUAUGGAUGGGGAUGCGUCUGAUUAGCUUGUUGGCGGGGUAACGGCCCACCAAGGCAACGAUCAGUAGGGGUUCUGAGAGGAAGGUACCCGACAUGGGAACUGAGACACGGUCCAAACUCCUACGGGAGGCAGCAGUGAGGAAUAUUGGUCAAUGGGCGAGAGCCUGAACCAGCCAAGUAGCGUGCAGGAUGACGGCCCUAUGGGUUGUAAACUGCUUUUGGAUGGGGAUAAAGUCAAUCACGUGUGAUUGUUUGCAGGUACCAUACGAAUAAGGACCGGCUAAUUCCGUG